UGAGCAACCUGCCCUUAGCUCUGGGAUAACCCCGGGAAACCGGGGCUAAUACCGGAUACGAGUCCGAGCGGCAUCACGCGGACUGGAAAGUUUUUCGGCUAAGGAUGGGCUCGCGGCCUAUCAGCUUGUUGGUGGGGUAAUGGCCUACCAAGGCGACGACGGGUUGCCGGCCUGAGAGGGCGACCGGCCACACUGGGACUGAGACACGGCCCAGACUCCUACGGGAGGCA
This 230-nucleotide ribosomal RNA is filed under the name uncultured bacterium. RNAcentral's name for it is "partial 16S ribosomal RNA". It matches the Rfam family "Bacterial small subunit ribosomal RNA", at positions 118 to 350 of the family's 1533-position model. The record is from RNAcentral.